GGGAAUGGUACUUUUUCUGUUUGAGGGAUAGAAAGUAUCCAACUGGAUUGAGAACAAACAGAGCCACUGAAUCAGGGUAUUGGAAAGCCACUGGGAAAGAUAAAGAGAUUUAUAGAGGAAAAACGCUUGUGGGUAUGAAGAAAACUCUUGUUUUCUAUGGGGGAAGAGCUCCAAAAGGUGAGAAAUCCAAUUGGGUUAUGCAUGAAUUCAGAUUAGAAGGGAAACCCUCUGCCAUUAAUCUCCCUAAUACUGCAAAGAAUGAAUGGGUGAUUUCUAGGGUGUUUCAGAAGAGCUGUGGAGGGAAAAAAGUUCACAUUUCUGGGUUAGUUAAAUUGGGUUCUUGUUCUUCUGCUUUGCCGCCAUUGAAGGAUUCCUCUUCUUCUUCAUCAUCAUUCAAGAUCAAACCAGUUCCUGAAUUAACUCACGUGCCCUGC
Molecule: unclassified non-coding RNA, 434 nt
Filed under: Hevea brasiliensis (rubber tree)
Lineage: Eukaryota; Viridiplantae; Streptophyta; Magnoliopsida; Malpighiales; Euphorbiaceae
Source: RNAcentral